RNAcentral lists this ribosomal RNA (450 nucleotides) under uncultured bacterium. RNAcentral's name for it is "partial 16S ribosomal RNA". It matches the Rfam family "Bacterial small subunit ribosomal RNA", at positions 354 to 796 of the family's 1533-position model. The record is from RNAcentral.
GUGAGGAAUAUUGGGCAAUGGGCGAAAGCCUGACCCAGCCACGCCGCGUGAGUGAUGAAGGCCUUCGGGUUGUAAAGCUCUGUGGGGAGGGAAGAAAAAGCGGGAGAGUAACUGCUCUCGUGUUGACGGUACCUCCUUAGCAAGCACCGGCUAACUCUGUGCCAGCAGCCGCGGUAAUACAGAGGGUGCAAACGUUGCUCGGAAUUACUGGGCGUAAAGCGCGUGUAGGCUGACAUGCAAGUCGGGUGUGAAAUCCCAGGGCUCAACCUUGGAACUGCACUCGAAACUGCACGUCUUGAGUACUGGAGAGGGAAGCGGAAUUCCGGGUGUAGAGGUGAAAUUCGUAGAUAUCCGGAGGAACACCAGUGGCGAAGGCGGCUUCCUGGUCCAUUACUGACGCUGAGGUGCGAAAGCGUGGGGAGCAAACAGGAUUAGAAACCCUAGUAGUCC